Long non-coding RNA from Myotis daubentonii (Daubenton's bat), 984 nucleotides. RefSeq lists it as uncharacterized. The record is from RefSeq and is a predicted model, not a curated record. The transcript is spliced from 3 exons. Lineage: Eukaryota; Metazoa; Chordata; Mammalia; Chiroptera; Vespertilionidae.
GGGAUGUGUGCAUAUGAUCAUCCACUCUCAGGCCACCGUCUUCUCCUAGAUCAAACUAAACAAUGUUCCUCAUAAGCAUAAAUGGGUCCCAGGAGUGAGAAAUGCUUUAUCUGGUAAUAGUGUAAUCGAUGAUGGAUGGAUGGUACACAGCUACCAUACUGAGAAUAGUUGACUUCUUUGGUAACAGACAUUUUAUGUAUUCAAAUAUUACAGAAGGAAUAAGAUCAAAUGUUGUGAGAAUUUGAACAUCUUUACGAUACAGGAUUCUUCCUCUUCUAGUUCCUUAGUUGAUACUGUCUGCAGUCACUCAGCACUUAAAACUUGCAGGAUGAGAGCCACAGCAGCAAAGUGAUUAAGAGCACAAAUGCUAAAGGAACUGGUUUUAGCAGUUUACUAACUGGGAAUGAUGGACAAGUUGUUUAUCCUCUUGUACCUCACAUUCAACUAUAAAUGGAAUUAAGAAGUGACUAAAUCUCGCCCUAGCUGGUUUUGCUCAGUGGAUAGAGCGUCGGCCUUCGGACUGAAGGGUCCCAGGUUCAAAUCUGGUCAAGGGCACAUGCCUGGGCUGCUGGCUCAAUCCCCAGUGGGGGUAAUGCAAGAGGCAGCCAAUCAAUGAUUCUCUCUCAUCAUUGAUGUUUCUAUCUCUCCCUCUCCCUUCCUCUCUGAAAUCAAUAAAAAUAUUUUUUAAAAAAAGAAGUGACUAAAUCUCAAGGUUUCUGUAAGCAUUAAGUAAGAUGAUGUAGAUAAGGCUGUUAGGAGUAGCAAACACAUAAUAAUGUCUACCAUUUAUUUAAAAAAAUGUUAUUACCAUUAUAAGGCAGCUAAUUACUACCACCACCCUCCCUAAAAAGACCACAGUGUACUUGGAGAAAAGCCAGUGGUUCACUCUUAGGAGAUGUUCAAAAGUACAGAAUAGUACCACUGCUUCAGGAUGAUGUCUGAAUAGCUCAAUUCCUUUGCCUACUAUAUCAAGUUACCAUUUCU